This 372-nucleotide ribosomal RNA is filed under the name uncultured organism. RNAcentral describes it as "partial 16S ribosomal RNA". It matches the Rfam family "Bacterial small subunit ribosomal RNA", at positions 527 to 896 of the family's 1533-position model. The record is from RNAcentral.
GUAGGUGGCAAGCGUUGUCCGGAAUUAUUGGGCGUAAAGCGCGCGCAGGCGGCCCUUUAAGUCUGAUGUGAAAGCCCACGGCUCAACCGUGGAGGGUCAUUGGAAACUGGGGGACUUGAGUACAGAAGAGGAAAGCGGAAUUCCAAGUGUAGCGGUGAAAUGCGUAGAGAUUUGGAGGAACACCAGUGGCGAAGGCGGCUUUCUGGUCUGUAACUGACGCUGAGGCGCGAAAGCGUGGGGAGCAAACAGGAUUAGAUACCCUGGCAGUCCACGCCGUAAACGAUGAGUGCUAAGUGUUAGGGGGUUUCCCGCCCCUUAGUGCUGCAGCUAACGCAUUAAGCACUCCGCCUGGGGAGUACGGCCGCAAGGCUG